AACGAACGCUGGCGGCAGGCCUAACACAUGCAAGUCGAGCGGCCCCUCCGGGGUUAGCGGCGGACGGGUGAGUAACGCGUGGGAAUAUGCCCUUCUCUACGGAAUAGUCCUUGGAAACUGGGGGUAAUACCGGAUACGCCCUUUGGGGGAAAGAUUUAUCGGGGAAGGAUUAGCCCGCGUUGGAUUAGGUAGUUGGUGGGGUAAUGGCCUACCAAGCCGUCGAUCCAUAGCUGGGUUGAGAGGAUGGGCAGCCACACUGGGACUGAGACACGGCGCGGACUCCUACGGGAGGGGGCAGUGGGGAAUCUUAGACAACGGGGGCAGCGCUGAACGAGCCAUGGCGGGUGAGUGAUGAAGGCCUGAGGGUAGUAAAGCUCUUUCAGCUGGGAAGGUAAUGACGGUACCAGCAGAAGAAGCCCCGGCUAACUCCGUG
This 433-nucleotide ribosomal RNA is filed under the name uncultured bacterium. RNAcentral describes it as "partial 16S ribosomal RNA". It matches the Rfam family "Bacterial small subunit ribosomal RNA", at positions 28 to 507 of the family's 1533-position model. The record is from RNAcentral.